This 329-nucleotide unclassified non-coding RNA is filed under the name soil metagenome. RNAcentral describes it as "partial contains 5.8S ribosomal RNA, internal transcribed spacer 2, and large subunit ribosomal RNA". The stretch from base 1 to 120 matches the Rfam family "5.8S ribosomal RNA", at positions 35 to 154 of the family's 154-position model. The record is from RNAcentral.
GAUGAAGAACGCAGCGGAAUGCGAUAAGUAAUGUGAAUUGCAGAAUUCAGUGAAUCAUCGAAUCUUUGAACGCACAUUGCGCCCCUUGGUAUUCCGAGGGGCAUGCCUGUUCGAGCGUCAUUAUAACCCCUCAAGCUCAGCUUGGUGUUGGGGCCUGCUGCACUGGCAGCCCUUAAAAUCAGUGGCGGCGCCAUCUGGCUCUAAGCGUAGUAAUUCUUCUCGCUAUGGAGUCCUGGUGGAUGCUUGCCAUCAACCCCCAAUUUUUCUAUGGUUGACCUCGGAUCAGGUAGGGAUACCCGCUGAACUUAAGCAUAUCAAUAAGCGGGGGA